Apis florea (little honeybee) is the source of this 1075-nucleotide long non-coding RNA. The record is from RefSeq and is a predicted model, not a curated record. Lineage: Eukaryota; Metazoa; Arthropoda; Insecta; Hymenoptera; Apidae.
AUCUGUAUUAUAAAUAAAAUAGAAAUAAAAUCUUACAUACGUGAUUUUCCAAAAACACGUUCUAAAUGUUUGAAAUAUCUUGAUGUUGAUAAAAAUACAAUGUAGAUUAUAGGAACAAUGAAACAGCUGUGAUGAAAUGAUAAAAUAUUCAGCAGAAUAUACACAAUAUUUUUUUAUAUUUCGAAUUUACUUGGUCAGUGUCCUAAAAAAGAGAACUAAUAUCUCCAUCUCUUUUUCUUUCCUAUUAGAUUAAUAUUUUCAUUUCACCUAAAUUUUGUAAGUUAGUUUGUAAACAAUACGAAGGACGAGAACACUUAAUAGUUUUGCACAAAUUUUUAGGCUCAAUAGAUUAAUUACACACACUUUAUACACAUUUCCUGAGAUUUGACUAGUAUUUUCACUGUUUUGUAUAUAUAUAUAUAUAUGUAUAUAUAUAUUGUAAUAUAUAUAUAUUUUUUUUUAUAUUUAUAUACAAAUUAUAUUAAGAGUUAGAAAGACUAGUAGUUUUAUGCUAACUUAAUUGUCAAUACACUUAUACAACAAGUCAUUUAUGCAAUACUUCUGCAUUACAAAUAGGAAAACUGAAGAAUCAUUUUCAUGUUUCAUGUUUAAAGAUUUGAAAUCUAUUUAAGGCGAUUUUCUUUAUCACCUUCGUUUUCUGGUCAUUUUAAGUGAAAUACACAUAAAGCUCUGAGUUCCUGCACUGAGAAGAUCUGGAUAUUUUAUCAGGGAAAAUUUGCUAAGCUUUGUAAUAUUUUGCUUGGGAUGUGACCUAUUUAUAUUACAUCGAUAUAGAUAUUAAUUAUUACUUUGAUUAGUUAUAAACUUAGAUUCAAUAUAUAUUAUUAUUGAACUGCAAUGGCUUAAUAAUAUUUCUUUACUUUCUGAUAGUUAGAGGGACGAUAGGUUAUAACAGUACGUGAUAUAAAUUAUUAUUUUUCUUAUUCUCUAAAAAACAAUUUAAAACGCUAUUUAGGAUUACGUUUUGUAUAGUAAUCUUAUAACAGAAGUUUUAUAAUAAAACAAACUAACGGUUGAAUCCGUUUGUGCACAGGCAGUUUAAUAAUUGUACUUU